AGAGUUUGAUCCUGGCUCAGGACGAACGCUGGCGGCGUGCCUAACACAUGCAAGUCGAACGAUGAUCCGGUGCUUGCGCCGGGGAUUAGUGGCGAACGGGUGAGUAACACGUGAGUAACCUGCCCUUAACUCUGGGAUAAGCCUGGGAAACUGGGUCUAAUACCGGAUAUGACUCCUCAUCGCAUGGUGGGGGGUGGAAAGCUUUUUGUGGUUUUGGAUGGACUCGCGGCCUAUCAGCUUGUUGGUGAGGUAAUGGCUCACCAAGGCGACGACGGGUAGCCGGCCUGAGAGGGUGACCGGCCACACUGGGACUGACAUACGGGUCAGACUCCUACGGGAGGCAGCAGUCGGGAAUUUUGGGCAAUGGGCGAAAGCCUGACCCAGCAACGCCGCGUGAAGGAUGAAAUCCCUCGGGAUGUAAACUUCGCAAGAACGGGAAGAAUAAGUUGGUGUGAACAUCACCAGCGAUGACGGUACCGUUUGUAAGCUCCGGCUAACUCCGUGCCAGCAGCCGCGGUAAUACGGGGGGAGCAAGCGUUGUUCGGAUUUACUGGGCGUAAAGGGCGCGUAGGCGGCCACCGCAAGUCGACUGUGAAAUCUCCGGGCUUAACUCGGAAAGGUCAGCCGAUACUGCGGGGCUAGAGUGCAGAAGGGGCAACUGGAAUUCUCGGUGUAGCGGUGAAAUGCGUAGAUAUCGAGAGGAACACCUGCGGCGAAGGCGGGUUGCUGGGCUGACACUGACGCUGAGGCGCGAAAGCUAGGGGAGCGAACGGGAUUAGAUACCCCGGUAGUCCUAGCCUUAAACGAUGGAUGCUUGGUGUCUGGGGUUUUAUAGUCCCCGGGUGCCGUCGCUAACGCUUUAAGCAUCCCGCCUGGGGAGUACGGUCGCAAGACUGAAACUCAAAGGAAUUGACGG
Molecule: ribosomal RNA, 916 nt
Filed under: uncultured bacterium
Lineage: Bacteria
Description: bacterial SSU rRNA
Rfam family: Bacterial small subunit ribosomal RNA
Source: RNAcentral